Molecule: ribosomal RNA, 762 nt
Filed under: Rhizophagus intraradices
Lineage: Eukaryota; Fungi; Glomeromycota; Glomeromycetes; Glomerales; Glomeraceae
Description: eukaryotic LSU rRNA
Rfam family: Eukaryotic large subunit ribosomal RNA
Source: RNAcentral
GCAUAUCAAUAAGCGGAGGAAAAGAAAAUAACAAUGAUUCCCCUAGUAACUGCGAGUGAAGAGGGACAAGCUCAAAUUUUAAAUCUAUCGGGUUUUACCUGAUCGAGUUGUAAUUUGAAGAAGCGUUUUCUGCGUAUUUGGUCAGCCUAAGUCCUAUUGAAUAAGGCAUCAUGGAGGGUGAGAAUCCCGUCCGGUUGAUCAGAUUCGCUUUACGAUACGCUUUCUAAGAGUCAAGUUGUUUGGGAUUGCACCUUAAAAUGGGAGGUAAAUUUCUCCUAAGGCUAAAUAACGGCGAGAGACCGAUAGCGAACAAGUACCGUGAGGGGAAGAUGAAAAGAACUUUGAAAAGAGAGUUAAACAGUACGUGAAAUUGUUGAAAGGGAAACGAUUGAAGCCAGUCGUACCUUCGGGUAAUCAGCCUUUCGGGUGCGAUUCUGUGGAGUUUGAGGAGCUUUAACACCUUCAUGCUUUGCAUAUUCGUGCUCUUGGGUGUACUUGCCCGUGUGGUUGGUUAACAUCAAUUUCGGGCACCAUAAAAUGGCUGGAGGAAUGUAGCUUCGAUCUUGUAUUGAAGUGUUAUAGCCUUCGGUAGAUGUGGUGAUCGAGAUUGAGGAUUGCAACGGAUACCUUUCGGGGCUACCUGUCUGAUCUCUGAUCGUUGCUUUGGUGCCGAAAGCUUGCUUACGGUUAUCAAAGUCGAUGGUCAAUAGGUUAGAACGGGUUAAAUUCGUUAAGGAUGUUGACGUAAUGGCUUUAAACGAC